GUAGUCUGCAACUCGACUACAUGAAGCUGGAAUCGCUAGUAAUCGCGAAUCAGCAUGUCGCGGUGAAUACGUUCCCGGGCCUUGUACACACCGCCCGUCACACCAUGAGAGUUGGGAAUACCCGAAGCCUGUGAGCUAACGAAAGNGGCAGCAGUCGAAGGUAGAAUCAAUGAUUGGGGUGAAGUCGUAACAAGGUAAC
Molecule: ribosomal RNA, 199 nt
Filed under: uncultured bacterium
Lineage: Bacteria
Description: partial 16S ribosomal RNA
Rfam family: Bacterial small subunit ribosomal RNA
Source: RNAcentral